AGAGUUUGAUCAUGGCUCAGGAUGAACGCUAGCUACAGGCUUAACACAUGCAAGUCGAGGGGAAACGACAUCGAAAGCUUGCUUUUGAUGGGCGUCGACCGGCGCACGGGUGAGUAACGCGUAUCCAACCUGCCCAUCACUUGGGGAUAACCCUGCGAAAGUAAGACUAAUACCCAAUGAUAUCUCUAGAAGGCAUCUGAAAGAGAUUAAAGAUUUAUCGGUGAUGGAUGGGGAUGCGUCUGAUUAGCUUGUUGCGGGUAAGGCCACCAAAGCAACGAUCAGUAGGGGUUCUGAGAGGAAGGUCCCCCACAUUGGAACUGAGACACGGUCCAAACUCCUACGAGAGGCA
RNAcentral lists this ribosomal RNA (349 nucleotides) under uncultured bacterium. RNAcentral describes it as "bacterial SSU rRNA". It matches the Rfam family "Bacterial small subunit ribosomal RNA", at positions 8 to 350 of the family's 1533-position model. The record is from RNAcentral.